UUGCAGGCAAACUGGGGAGAAGCCCAAUGCCCCUCUCUAGCAAGCCCAGGGGGCUCAGCCUCCCUCUCCCCCACAGCAGGGACACUUCUUUCAAGAGGGACCAGCCACCAGCCAGACCUCACAACCACACCCCAGUGGGGGGUGAUGUCACUGAACUGGGGCUGAAUCUGGCACUGGUGAGGGACCACUAAGGCCAAAAGCUGCUGGCAGGCAAGCUGGAGCCACCCUGCCAGCAAUCCUGGAGUGUGUCCUGACCCCUCCACUGCUCCUCUCCCCCUUGAACUCAGCACUGCAGCUGAGAAAAGCCCCUGAGGAGUGGGGCCACCCCUUGCAGAGGGGCUGCAGCUGGGAGGGAAGGCAGGGAUAGAGGCUGGAGGGAUGGAGCAGCAGAGCAAAGCAGCAGCUGCCUCCUGCUGUGUUGGGCUGUCCCCUUUCCCUGGAUGCCACCUGGUGACCAAAGGCUCUGGGGACAGGGCACUGACCUGAUGAGGAGGUCCCGCAGAACAGCAGAAUCCUUUAUGUUGGAGAAGACCUCUAAGAUCAUCGAGUGCAACCAUUAAAUAUCACACAGGAAUGGCAAAACAAAAACAACUGUGCUGUGCAAAGGCUGCCUGUGGCCAUGGCUGUGUCCUGGGGGUCUGCCUGUGCUGAAGGCCCAAGUAGAAGAUGAGGGUUUAAUGAAUCCCAUCGAACUCAGAAUGUUCAGGGACACAGCACAAGAGGGCAGCAGAGCUUCAAAAUACAGAUUUUCCUGGCAGCUUUGUUAAACCAUCCCUCAACACAGGAUUCCUAUUAAAAAGACUUGUAAAUGACA
Molecule: non-coding RNA, 814 nt
Organism: Cyanistes caeruleus (blue tit)
Lineage: Eukaryota; Metazoa; Chordata; Aves; Passeriformes; Paridae
Source: RefSeq, a predicted model, not a curated record